AUUGAACGCUGGCGGCAUGCCUUACACAUGCAAGUCGAACGGCAGCGCGGACUUCGGUCUGGCGGCGAGUGGCGAACGGGUGAGUAAUACAUCGGAACGUACCCUGUUGUGGGGGAUAACUAGUCGAAAGAUUAGCUAAUACCGCAUACGACCUGAGGGUGAAAGUGGGGGACCGCAAGGCCUCACGCAGCAGGAGCGGCCGAUGUCUGAUUAGCUAGUUGGUGGGGUAAAGGCCACCAAGGCGACGAUCAGUAGCUGGUCUGAGAGGACGAUCAGCCACACUGGGACUGAGACACGGCCCAGACUCCUACGGGAGGCAGAAGUGGGGAAUUUUGGACAAUGGGGGCAACCCUGAUCCAGCAAUGCCGCGUGUGUGAAGAAGGCCUUCGGGUUGUAAAGCACUUUUGUCCGGAAAGAAAUCGCGCUGGUUAAUACCUGGCGUGGAUGACGGUACCGGAAGAAUAAGCACCGGCUAACUACGUGCCAGCAGCCGCGGUAA
Molecule: ribosomal RNA, 499 nt
Filed under: uncultured bacterium
Lineage: Bacteria
Description: partial 16S ribosomal RNA
Rfam family: Bacterial small subunit ribosomal RNA
Source: RNAcentral